GGAAGGAAAAGAAAUAACAAUGAUUCCCCUAGUAGUGGCGAACGAAGAGGGAUAAGCCCAGCACUGAAUCCUGUGUUGCUUAACGUGACAUUUGGAAAUGUAGUGUAUAGAUCUGUCCCGUAGUGUGCCAGCAAUGGUCUCGCUACAAGUAAUGUCUGUUGAGAGUUGACUGUGUAGGCGUCUUUCGGGGCGCUUGCUAGCGUAAAAUGUUUUAUAUAAGUUCAUCUAGAACGAGACUUGCACUUUCGCAUAACCUCCCACAGAGGGUGAUAGGCCUGUCAUAUAUUCAAAACUACUCACAAUGGACGGACAAACGCAACUCUUUGUUGCGACAAAAUGGAUCUUGGAGUCGUGUUUCUUGAUAGUGAAGCACUAAGCGGCUGGUAAACUCCAGCUAAGGCUAAAUAUAACCACAAAACCGAUAGUAGACAAGUACCGUGAGGGAAAGUUGAAAAGAACUCUGAAUAGAGAGUUAAAUGAGAACGUGAAACCGAUCAAAGCUCAAACCAAAAAGUAUCAAGUAUCUGAAAUGUUGUUUAGAAUUUUGCUGGUCAUUCAAGUGUGUGCGUGUAAUGUGCACACACUGCAUUUGAUCUAUGAUAAAUUCUCCGCACGUAUAAGUAAGACACUACGAUCAAUUGAAUGCUACAUGGCGCAUGUGAUCAACAUAAGCGAUUGCUUAUAGCACGUGAUAUAGAAAGCACUCUAGCACAGUCUUAAGAGCGAGUAUAUAUUAUGUUAUUGCUAUAUAUUGCUAGAGUUGAGAUAAAAUUAUGUGUCGUCAUACCAAUGUACGCUCGUUCGAUUGUAUUAAAGCGACUAAAACUGUAUUCUCGAUUGUGCAGCAAUGCCAAUUGAAGUGUGAACCUUGUUGACACUUGUGUGCAUCGUUAUGGAUUGCCGUUAAUUUGUUUAAAGGGGACACAAAAAUGUGCGCUACAAGCAAUUGURGUGUGCAGUCUCCCAAAUUGACCAUUUCUUGUGGGCACACCUGAGUGCGCAACAAUCGGUUGGCUCAAUACGCUCAGUUCUAAUCAGUAGUGAAAAUGUAUUUAUGUUUAAUCGCAUAAAUAUAUANNNNNNNNNNNNNNNNNNNNNNNNNNNNNNNNNNNNNNNNNNNNNNNNNNNNNNNNNNNNNNNNNNNNNNNNNNNNNNNNNNNNNNNNNNNNNNNNNNNNAACUAAUGAUAUUGUUUGGAUUUUUGUAUCGUGUGGGCCAUUUUUGGUAAGCAGAACUGGCGAUGUGGGAUGAACCAAAAGCAAUGUUAAGGUGUCCCAAUGGCUCAUGUAGAAACCAUAAAAGGUGUUGGUUGUUCAAGACAGCAGGACGGUGGCCAUGGAAGUUGGCAUCCGCUAAGGAGUGUGUAACAACUCACCUGCCGAAGCAACCUGCCCUGAAAAUGGAUGACGCUAAAGUCACAUACCGAUACAUUGCUGUCAUGUUAUGUGCAUAUAUUUGUAUAUGUAUUAAAAUAUGACAUGUAGGAGGGUACAAUGGUGUGCUGCGAAGUGUUGGCGUAAGCUUGCAUGGAGCCGCCAUUGGCACAGAUCUUGGUGGUAGUAGCAAAUACUUUAAUGAGAUCUUGAAGGACUGAAGUGGAGAAGGGUUCCGUGUAAACAGUGUUUGGACGCGGGUGAGUCGAUCCUAAGUUCUAAGCGAAAGCUAUGUAACUUUAUUAUUUGCACAAAAUAAUAUUUAUAGGCAAAAAAUAUUUUAUCGAUUCUAAAYAUUUGGAAUGUGUAAAUUAAUUUUAACCAAUAUAAAUGUAAUUUAUUGUUUUUUCUCUUAAUAAUUCUAUGGAACGAAAGGGAAAAUGGUUAACAUUCCAUUACUUAUUAUGUAAUGUUUAUAAACGAAGUUCUUUAUAAGUAGUGUUAUACUCUUGUAGUGCAACUUAUAGUGGCAACACAAAUUGCUUAAGGAUACAUCCACAAAACGUAAUGGGAGAGUUAUCUUUUCUCUAUGAAAGCCUCUAUGUGCUCCAUGUGAAUACCGUAAUGGUGAGAAGUGGACACGAGCUUGCAGAGCAUAGACCUGGUUUCUAUGACAUUACAAGUUUUGGGGAGCCUUGAAAAUCCUUAGCAAAGAACACGUAAUAAUCAUAAUAAUUCGUACCGAUAUCCGCAUCAGGACUCCAAGGUUAAAAGCCUCUAGUCGAUAGAAAAAUGUAGGUAAGGGAAGUCGGCAAAUUUGAUCCGUAACUUCGGAAGAAGGAUUGGCUCUGAAAGUUACAAUUCAUGCGUUACUAAUCAUAUUAAAGACUAUGGCGUAUUGGUGCAAUUGUGAUGCAAAAUGGAAUUAUUGUGUGCGUGUUGUGCGCAUCACACACUUCGGUGUGUGUUGUGUGUUUGCGCGUUUACUUUAUUCAUUUUCUCAUUUAGUGCCUUGUCAUUGUCCGAUUAGUGUGUUGUGUGUGCGUUUUGGUGGGUUUGUGUGUUUGCGCAUGCUGCUCGCUGGCGUUCCCGGCACUUUCGAUGCUGAAUUAUAUAUAACUAUAUCAGAACUGUCACGGACAAAGAGAAUCCGACUGUCUAAUAAAAACAUAGCAUUGUGAUGAUUCCAAAUGGAUGUUGACACAAUGUGAUUUCUGCCCAGUGCUCUGAAUGUCAAUGUGAAGAAAUUCAAACAAGCGCGGGUUAACGGCGGGAGUAACUAUGACUCUCUUAAGGUAGCCAAAUGCCUCGUCAUCUAAUUAGUGACGUGCAUGAAUGGAUUAAUGAGAUUCUCACUGUCCCUAUCUACUAUCUAGCGAAACCACAGCCAAGGGAACGGGCUUGGGAGUAACAGCGGGGAAAGAAGACCCUGUUGAGCUUGACUCUAGUUUGACAUUGUAAAUUGGCAUAAGAGGUGCAGUAUAAGUGGGAGUUGUGUAUUAGGGCACAUUGUGCUCAUUGCGCAACAACAAUGAGAUACCACUACUCUUAAUGUUGCUUUACUUAUUCGACGGUAUGAAAUGCAGUCGCGAUAUGUGUAACGAUUAUUACUCAAUAGAGGCUUGCAUUCAUUUGCUUGUUUCAUUACGUUGAGUUUUCUGAUCACUAAGCGACAUGUUUCAAUAUACUGCAGAAAAAAAUUAUGUCAUGAGUAUGUUAGUGUGUGUUUGCAUUCGCGUGCAUAYAUGCGCUCGCAUUCUCAAAUUACGACAAAAUGAUUCAUUUCGAAGACAGUGUCAGAUGGGGAGUUUGACUGGGGCGGUACAUCUCUCAAAUAAUAACGGAGAUGUCCUAAGGUCAGCUCAGAAAGGACAGAAACCUUUCGUAGAGUAAAAGGGCAAAAGCUGGCUUUACUUAAUAUAUUCAGUACAUAUAUAGGUUGCGAAAGCAUGGCCUAUCGAUCCUCUUACAAGUAAUCUUGUGGGUGCUAUUACAUAAUGAGUUUUUAGCAAGAGGUGUCAGAAAAGUUACCACAGGGAUAACUGGCUUGUGGCGGCCAAGCGUUCAUAGCGACGUCGCUUU
Molecule: ribosomal RNA, 3454 nt
Filed under: Nymphomyia dolichopeza
Lineage: Eukaryota; Metazoa; Arthropoda; Insecta; Diptera; Nymphomyiidae
Description: partial 28S ribosomal RNA
Rfam family: Eukaryotic large subunit ribosomal RNA
Source: RNAcentral